CGCACGGGUGAGUAACGCGUAGGUGACUACCCUUAGCGGGGGACAACUCCGAGAAAUCGGGGCUAAUACCGCGUAUGCUCUCGAGUCAAAUUGAGAGUGAAAGCUCCUUCGGGGGCGCCUUUGGAGGGGCCUGCGUUCGAUUAGCUUGUUGGUGGGGUAAAGGCCUACCAAGGCUGAGAUCGAUAGCUGGUCUGAGAGGAUGAUCAGCCACACUGGGACUGAGACACGGCCCAG
This 234-nucleotide ribosomal RNA is filed under the name uncultured bacterium. RNAcentral's name for it is "partial 16S ribosomal RNA". It matches the Rfam family "Bacterial small subunit ribosomal RNA", at positions 99 to 334 of the family's 1533-position model. The record is from RNAcentral.